UAGGGAAUCUUCGGCAAUGGGGGGAACCCUGACCGAGCAACGCCGCGUGAGUGAAGAAGGUUUUCGGAUCGUAAAGCUCUGUUGUUAAGGAAGAACGAGUGUGAGAAUGGAAAGUUCAUACUGUGACGGUACUUAACCAGAAAGGGACGGCUAACUACGUGCCAGCAGCCGCGGUAAUACGUAGGUGGCAAGCGUUGUCCGGAUUUAUUGGGCGUAAAGCGAGCGCAGGCGGUCAAUUAAGUCUGACGUGAAAGCCCCCGGCUCAACCGGGGAGGGUCAUUGGAAACUGGUUGACUUGAGUGCAGAAGAGGAGAGUGGAAUUCCAUGUGUAGCGGUGAAAUGCGUAGAUAUAUGGAGGAACACCAGUGGCGAAGGCGACUCUCUGGUCUGUAACUGACGCUGAGGCUCGAAAGCGUGGGUAGCAAACAGG
RNAcentral lists this ribosomal RNA (430 nucleotides) under Bacteroidota bacterium. Its description in RNAcentral is "Bacteroidetes bacterium partial 16S ribosomal RNA". It matches the Rfam family "Bacterial small subunit ribosomal RNA", at positions 355 to 776 of the family's 1533-position model. The record is from RNAcentral. Lineage: Bacteria; Pseudomonadati; Bacteroidota.